Molecule: long non-coding RNA, 8903 nt
Organism: Haemorhous mexicanus (house finch)
Lineage: Eukaryota; Metazoa; Chordata; Aves; Passeriformes; Fringillidae
Exons: 2
Source: RefSeq, a predicted model, not a curated record
UGAAACCACAGGGGAUCUGGAAAGGGCUUCAGAUAACACAACAUGUAUAAAUCAUUCAGGAGAACAAUUCAUGAAAGAAAAGUUAUCUGUGUUUUGGAUGACAUUGGAAGAACUAAAUAGGAGUCAAUUUGAGGAAGAGACAUUUUGCUCCAUUGUCCGGCCUGGCUUUUCUUUCUCUUUUUUUUUUUUUAUUGUGUUGUAAUAUACAUUUUCAAAAUUAAUUAACCAUUAACAGCAAGAUAAAUGUUUCUUCUUGUGUUAAGGAAAUGCUGGCCUCGGUGGUGAAAGAUUAUUUCACAUGAGCAGCACUCUUCAAGAAAGCUGUUGCCAGAUAAGGUGGCGACUGUACUUUGAAGAGGAACAAUGAGGAGUGACAGACAAGACCGUGUUUACCAACCUGAAUAGAGGACUCACAGGUUUCCACUCCCUGCUCGGUUACCUAAGCCCGGGGAAUCAGGGCUGGAGUGCCAUUUCACCAGCCCGGAUCAGUAACAAAGUGGUAACUACUUCAGAAUGUAAUAACGCGCCGUGAAAUCUUACUCCAGGGGGUAACGAACAACAUUUUCUUAAUUUAAUUUUCAUGAAAUGUUUAAAAAAUUACUUUGUUGGAACAGCUCUGGUGUUUAUGAAUUUGGCAGCUGUGGAGGAUUUUUGUUCUGUGUUUUUUUUUACAACGUUCAGACUUUUGAUUACAGGUUGGGGUGUGAAUACAGCACGGCUCAAAUGUGAAAGCCUUUUAUUUCAACCAGGCCAAAAAUGUAGAAAUAGGAAGAAGAUGUUCUUGUUCUGCAACUUAGGAAAGAUCUAAAUUUGGCACCCACACUGUACACAGAAUGGCAUGGGACUCGUGUGUGUAGUGCUCCGAGACACAGUCACAUAUAUGUGAAAAUAUUUGAAAAUAACUGACUCCAGGAGCACUAUACCAACCCACCUCAUCCAGAAAAGGCCACUGGAAAUAGUAAUUUUCUCCCAUUUUUGUCUCUAUCCCUGCAGAGCUGGCAGAGUUGGUACAGAGUGCUGGGAAAUUGCUAUUGGCCUUUGAUAAAGUGCUCAAUUUUUAUUACUUUUGUGCUGUGUUCGUGAUUCUACAGUCCUGAACCCAAAUAUUUGUAGAGCUGAAGUCUAGAACAAUCUCGCUGUCUGUUGACAGCACCUGCAGUUUCUUUGUCAAUGUGAACAGUGCAGAUCAGCAUGGCCAGUUGAGCAUCCAAACAAGUUCAGCAGGAAAGGGGAAUAGAAAUAGAACAUGCAUUAUAUAUAUGUAUUUAGAUAUGUGUGUAUGUACAAUGGGAUUGUUUCUUCAUUCUGUUACAAAUAUAUUGAGGGGAUUUACAUUAGAGGACAACAUUAAACAAAAUUGUGACACAACUGACAAACAAUCAGACCGUAUUUACAUAUGUAAAUGUAUAUAUGGGACGCAAAUGCUAGAUGAAAAGGCUACUAGAUACAAUGUUUACUUUAACAUAGAUGUCUGAAAUUGGGAGUGUAAGUUUUUGGUAUGUGCAUAAUCAGCUGUAAUAUAUUUAUUAAUAGUUUUUAUAAUGCAUGUGUUUUUAUUUUUCUCAUCCACAGGUUUUUUUUUACAUUUGACCUCUUUGCGUCUUCAGGUUCUGGCUACAACAUUAUUGGACAAGGGAGUUAGCACAUGUGGAACAGGGAUGGCUGAAGGAAAUAUGCCAGCUUCUUACCUCUGGCAGUUUUAAGACUGAUGUCUUAACAUAAAGUCUAACUGGUGGAUAUUCAUCAUGCCAGGUCAAGCUGAAGUUGACAUUGCUUUCAGUGUCCCUUUGGUAUGGAUGGAAAACCACAAGGAGAAGUCAGGGCUAACUGCUGGCACCGUUGCUGAACACCAGACACAGUGUCCAUCAAGCCCUGAUCUUUCCUGAAGUGCAAUGUUUGCCCUAAAACUAUCCUCUCUUCAGCAACAAACACCGUUAGAUAUCUCUGCCUAGUUUCCUUACUAUAAACUGUGAUGAUUUUGUAAGGAAUGAUUCAUAAACAUAAAGGCAUAAAUCCAUCCCUCAUGAGGCAUAAAUCCAUCCCUCAAUAAGGCUCAAAACCACAAAGGCACAGGGCGAUACUGUGUUUGGGGUUUCUUUGCAUGAAUCUUGUCAUUUGUCUUGUUUUUGGUGCUGGUUGUUUUCUACACAGAAGAGGGAAAGUGUGAAACUAGCCCACAGUUUUUGCAAACUAUCAGAAUAAACCAUAUCUGUAGAGAGUAUCUUUAGAAAGCAGAAUACAUAUCCAGAGCACUCAGAGCAAGAACAGUUAGUCUACUUGCUAGUAUUCCCACCCACUGCCCUGACACUUGUAUUCCUGCUGGAGAGUGGCCCAGCUUCAGAAGGAAGGACUGCACUUAAAUAAUGUGGGGCACGUCACUCUAAAGAGCAUUGGAGACAAACACAAGAUGUGUUACUGAGCAACUUGAAUUUCUACAUGUGUUUUCUUUUGGAUUACCAUUCAAAGAGAUGGUGAGAUUUAAUUUAAUCAAUUAAAAUUAUUUCUUUCAGCCCUUUCAAACACCUGCCCCGAGUUAGGGCGCUCUCAAAGACGCGUCCUUAAAAUAGGUUCAAUUUUCAUGAGCUGGCAUUUUCCAUCAAAAGCAAGAAAAAUCUUGACCAUUUCUGGUGAUAAAAUUUCCUUUUUUAACAUGUGUUUGAGGCUCUGUCCUCAAGCCACUGCAAAGACAUAAUGGUAGGCACAAACUGCCUCUGCCUUGUCACACAGAAUGCACCAUUCUGGACUUGUUUCACUAACCUGGUGGAGGAGGCAGGUGUGUUCAUGGUGUCUAUUCUAUAUUAUUUGCACAGUGUUUAAGCUGUAAAAUCCUUUAAGAAGGAAAGGCAUUUGCACAAUGUCUUCUUAGAGAUAGUACUGUUAUAAAUCAUCACAUAAAGAGAAGAAAAACCUUCUAAUUGCUUGCUUUAUCUUCAAAAGUUAUGAAUUUCAGAACAAUCUGCAUAUCAGGUGCCUUGUUAGUAUUUUAGUGUUAAAAGGCUUCUGUUGAUAUAUUUCCAGCUUCUGUUACCUGCCUUUGACACACCACAUAGUUAUUUUCUUUUUAAUCUCUGAAAAGCAGAAAUAUUGUGAGCUCUUUGCUGGUGCCAGUAUGGAUAGGAGCCAUCCCUAAAGAGACAUAUAUUGCAAUUGGCAAGAUAUAAAUCACAUACUGUAUAAAUAUAGAGGUGUUUAUGUGUCAAGAUGUUGGCAAGUGGUUUGUGGGAAAAACUACUCUGUUGGAUGCUAAAAGCAUCUUUCAGGUCUGCCAUUUACGACUCCUACUUUCUUGCUGCUUUUGUGCCAGUUUUUGGAUUAUCAUUAGGGGUAUAUGUGAUUGCUUGUCCAGAUGUUGUACAGAAGUGCCUUGAAAGAGAAAGAGUAAUUCUUGCCCCAUUCCUAGUGAGAAUGAUGCUGUUGAGAAUUUGUUUCAGGGUUUGUUUGCUUUUGUUUUGGUUUUGUAUUUUGUUUUGAGUUUGUUUUUUUUCUUUUUACAAUCACUCUCUUCAUUCACUAAUGUCAGCACUUGUUUAUUUGCACUGGAGCUUUGUUCCCUACCAAAACUGGGUCUUGCAACUGCCUUGCUUUGAAGCAUAGUAAUUAACCCCUUCCAAACCUCACCUGCAAAUCUGCAAAUUGCUGUUUCUUGACCUUCUUCUUGUCAUUUCCUUUCACCCUGUUUCUUCUUUUAUAUUUUUUUCUUGCUUUGUUGAACUUACUUCAACUUGACGCAAGUUCACAGAUAACGUAGUGUGUCUUAGUGCAGCUACUUUGCUUUAAAUCCUGUGGCAGGAGUUUUGUUCCUGCACGCAAUCCACUUGGGUCCUAAGGAAACCUCCAGACAGCUUUACCUUCUUCUAGAAUCCUUUGUUCUACCUAGUUGACACUGCAGCUGACAGAAGCAGCCAACAGGCACUGCAGUUUGGGCACUCUCUUGUGCAGAAGGGUGCAGGAAACAGGACCAGAAAUGAUGCCUGGCAGUAGUGUUACCCUAGGGCAUAUCCCCAGCACCAUCUUGAUUUACUGGGGAUCUUAACACAAACUAAGCUCCUGAAGGAGAACUCAGCUGUCUGGGUCUGGGGCUGACAGGAUGCCUGGGACUCCUCACUGAGUCCUGGGGGUCACUAAGGGAAUUAUCAGCCAGCAAUGACACAAAGACUACCAGCAUCUUAAGCAUUAUCCCAGCAGGAAUUCAUCACCAGUAGGUUGAAGGAAGUCAUCCUUUCUAUACUCAGCAUAGGUGAGACAUAUCUGCAGUCCUGGGUCCAGUUCUGGGCUCCUCAGUGCAACAGAGGUAUCGAUAUACUGAAGAGAGUCCAGCAAAGGGCCUCAAGGAUGAUUAAGAGCCUGAUUAAGGAUAUGGUGGAGCAUCCAUCCUAUGAGCAAAGGUUGAGAGAGCUGGGACUGUUCAGCCUGGAGAAGAAAGACUUAGGGGAAAUCUUAUGAAUGCACAUAAAUACCUGAAGGGAGGGUGCAAGGUGGGUGGAGCCAGGAACAUCUCACAGGUGCCAAGUGAGAAGACAAGGGUCAAUGAGUACAUUCUAAAACACAGGAAAUGGCAUUUCAACAUAAGAAGAAAACUUUUUUACAUUGAAGGUGGUCAGAUACUGGAACAGGUUUCCCAGAGAGAUUUGCUCCCCUAUUUUGGAGGUGCUUAAGCCCCAUUUAAAUAGUGUCCUGAACGACUUGCAGUGAGUGACCCUAUAUAAUCAGGAGAGUUGGGUUAGACAGUCUCCAAAGGUGUCUUCCUACCUCAGUUGCACUGUGAUUUUCUCAUACAACUUCGUGCUCCUCUUUGUCCUUCACAUUGGAAAAGAGGCUGACCAGAUAGAAAGGUAGGAAGACAAAAUGAUGCUUUGAUCAAGAUCAUGCUCUUUCAGAAAAGAAGUGUGUAUAUAUAGAGUGUAGAUUUUAUACACAGUACCUGCCAGAAUCAACACAAAAUUUGGAAUAAAUGGAGGAGAUACCCAGGGGAAGCCACGUGUCUCACAUGUCUCAAGCAAGGGAUGCCACUAGCUGUGAUAGAGUAGUUAAAUAUCCAGACAACAUAAUCUGCACCAGUAAAUCAAUAGCAGUUCUCAGUUUGUGACAUAAUUUCUUUUUUUUUUUUAAGGCAGUAUUUUAUGACUAGAUCUCCAUUAUAUGCAAGGUCAAUGGUUCUGUUUCCCAGAACAGGUAGCUGGGAGUCCUCAGCUGGAGAGGUGAAGACUUCCAGCCUAAAUCUGUGAGCUUUGGAAAGGAAAUGACUACAGACACAGCAGGCUGGAGUCCAGCUGUCAGCCACUGUUGGGACCUGAUACCUUGCAGAUCCAUAGGCAGCUCCACAAGGACUAGAACAUCUUGAGGAACAGCUCAAGGAUUAGGGAGGAUCAGAGAGUUUGCGCGUGUGAGAAUCUUCAUGCAAGAGACUGUCUGGGCAUAUAUAUAUUUAAAAUAAUCUAGCUAAAGAGUGAGAGACUUUCUGAUCACAUGUUGUCUCAGAUAAAAUUUUGAGAGAAUUGGUUUGUUCUGAAGCAUAUUUAUUCUAUAGCAUAUACAAUAAUUCACCAUGGUAAAGUAUUGAAUAAACACUACACUGUCACCUUUUUUAUUAUUUAAGUGUCUUGAACAGUACUAAAAUCAGUUGUGAUUCCUGAAAAUUAAUUCCUGCUAUUAGUUUUCUGACCUGGAUAAGAAUCAGUAACCCAGAGCUGCAAAGCCAUGCAUAUAAUUAUACCACUUCCCCACUGAACUUGCAUUAUUAUCAUAACUAUAACCGGCCUUUGUAGAAAAACUGCUUCUACACUGCAUCUAUAUUCUGUUCUAAAAUAAUGACACGUGACAGUUCCAGAGAAGAAUUACUAAUUAAACAUAUUCCUUUUAAUAUUUCAUCCAUUGUCCUCAAAAAGACAACAAUUUCAACCCUUUAUUUAUUUUUUCUACACUAUUUGGAGUUUAGGAUCUAUUCCUUAAGAACAAAAGUACAAUACUAUCUUGCAGAACUGAGCUGUCAUGACAAAAAUUUUUAUCAGUCUAAAUUAUCUAUGCAACAACAUGAUAGAAACCCAGAAAUAGGAUACAGUAGCAAAGCAGUUCAACUUCCAUUAAAAAUAAAAGCUCUGUUAAUAAGCUUCUGGCAUGAUUUUUGAUAUAACCAUUUUAGGGUUAAUGGUGGUUGGCUAUCAUGAAGGAUUUUGCAAGUGUUGAAGUUAUCAGUGUCCCCAUAUAUGCCUUAGCUCAGCAAAGCAGUUAAGCAUGUGCUUAAGUCUCAUUCUGUAAUCUCUUUCUCUAACCAUAAAUCCUGCUUCAUUGACUUCUGCACUUUUUAUAGCUUGCUGAGGGAAAUUCAUGCUACCUGUUUGGCAACAUAACAGUAGCAUGACAGAGUAGUGCAUGCUUGCACCAUGUUUAGGAUUUUAGUAGAGAACACAUCUGGAAAUGGGAGGAAGAUGUGAUAAUAGAGAAUAUCACUUUGUUAUUUUAAUUUUACUUUACGUAAAAACUUUUGACAUGCAAAUGGUGUCCUUGCUAAUUGCAGUGUCUGUUGAGAUAUUGAUACUAAUCCUUCAAUUACAUUCAUUAUUAUUUAGCUUUUAUUUAUCGACCCUGUGGGAUGCAGAAAACUACAUAUGAGCCCUAAAUUCUUGCAGUCUAAAAGGCAGGUCCAGAAAAACGUGGAUGUCCUCUGGAAUUCAAAGUUAGGGAAUAAAAAGAGUGAACAGGAGAAAUCUCAUAUUGAUUUGGUGAGCACAGUUGUUUCAGGUUUCCUUCCUCUUCUCUGUGUCCAUUACCCAGCCCAGUGGCUGUACAUUUUUGUGUGUUUUUACCUGUUGUAAAUUGAUGUCAUUUGCUUUUGUAUGUCAACCAUGUGCAAGUAAGUAAAGCAAGCAGUUUUGUCUUACAGAAAAGCUACUUAUGUACUUUACACCUCAAAAUGAUUCACAGCACUAUGCAAGUACAGGUGCUAUAAACAGGAGAUGCAAGUCCUUAUUCUAAGCCCUCUACAAGUUUUCACAUCCUACAGGCCUGGGUGAUUUAGUGAUAUACCCUGAGCAACUCCGUAUCUCAUGCUUUGAGCAGGCCUAGGUGGACCAGAUGACUUUGUAACUUUGUAAUGAUGCUUUAAUAUAAAACAAAAGGAAUAGAGGGUGAAUCAGAUUCUCCAAUAAGACAUCAUUGUCUGUUUCAUUAUAUUCAGCAUAAUAAUGGUAAUUAUGAAGUCAAUACUCGUAUACCAACAUGUUAAAGAAAUGUAAUGAAGAGAGAAAAAUAAAAGUCUUCAUGAAGGUAUUAAUGCUAUCUUUUAGGGAGGUUAAUGAGAAAAUCCUGUUAGACAAGACCAGCUGAGAUAUGGAAUAUCAUUUUUGUAAGAAGUGCUGACAUCUGAGAAUUUGUUAUUGUUUCAAUUCAGGGUGAAAUCAAAUGUUUCUGAUAUGCCAUGCAAGUAUUGCUUUAGAAAAAAGACUUAAUUUCUCCAAUAUUUAGUUUUAUAAUUCUACCACUGUGUUUCAGACUUCAUUCUCUGUUUUCAACCAGAAAAUAUGUGGAUGCUAUGUAUUUGCAGUGCUGGGCUAAUUCUUGUGAGAGGAUGUGCAGUGUCCUUUUUCCUUUGCCAGGCAGACCAGGGGUUGGAACACUUGCCUGUAAUACAGGAGAGCUGGACUGCACAUCCACUGUACCCAGAGUGGUUUUGGAGUGAGCACUUUCAAAAUCAGAACAUAAUGUCCAGGGCAGCAGCUGGUAGCAGCAUCAUUGUUAAUUACCCUCAAGGACAUGAUGUACAGACUAGACUAACUUUUGGAGCUUCACUAAGGAUGCAAGUUGACUGUCUCUGAAUGAGAGAUUUUGAAGAAAUUAACCUUAGCCAAGAUGCAAAAGGAGAAGAAAGGCAAUGGUGAAGUCCAAACUGGUAUUAUUCUAGAGACAAAAAGAGCCUUUAAAAUUUUUGAAGACUGUUUUUUAAUAAUUUUACCCACUACUACUGCAAUAAAGCAGCCAGAGAUGCGACUGUACCAAAGCUCUAGCUUUGGUAAUUAGCAGUACCUGAGCAUUCAAAAGUAAUGUAGAAGUAGAAUGAGAGGAGAGAGAAUAUAACAAGAAUAAGUUCCAUAUAAAUGGAAGUAAGCAUAAGGAAAACAAAAGGAAGAUCCCUAAGUCCAAGAGAAGUUUUUUUGUUGAGAGAAAAAUGCAGCAGUAAGAUUUGAAAGAGCAAUCUCUCUGUAUAAAACAGAUGUAACAGAAAAAAAGGAGCUGUGUCUGCUGAAAAACCAUUUGUGUGCUCUGCAGCAAGUUCUUCAAAGGGAUAAAGAACCUAUCUUGGAUAGAUGAUCCAGACAAUGUUAAAGGAGGGAAAACAAUAAUCUUAGGUUUGCUGUAGGAGAAGUAUAUGCUUUUUCUGAGCAAUGGCUGAGCCAAAGAACCAGGCAGAGACCUGCUCCACUCCAUGUCUGAGUUUUGCUUGGUCAACCUUACACAAUAUGAAGCAUUGAAGAACAUAACACCCAGCUUCAACUGGCUGUUACUCUGCCUUCCUGGAGAUAAAGUUUGCCCAUCUUCAUUUCACAGUUAAGCAUAUGGCCAUCAAAAAUUAGCAAUAAACAUCAGAAUGCAAAAUGCUUAUGAGAAAUCUAUUAAAUAGCUCACAAUGGGAGUCUUUUGACAUUCUUGUGUGGAGUAUUCCCUGUGUUACAGAACACUGGAAAGGUCAUCUGUCCCAAAUAUUUUAUGUUUAGGAAUCAGAAAUCUCAAAAUGGUGCAACUGUUUUCAGUUUUAGACUUGUCUGAGGAAAAUGGGCAAUUCACCAUGCCGGAAUAUCUCUGCAUUCUGCCAACACUGAGCUACCUUAUUUGACCUCAGGGCUCAAUGUAUUGUGCUUGGGCAUAAAUAAUCCCACUGUCAUUCUAAUAAAGAGUCCCAUGACCACGAA